This 265-nucleotide ribosomal RNA is filed under the name uncultured archaeon. RNAcentral describes it as "partial 16S ribosomal RNA". It matches the Rfam family "Archaeal small subunit ribosomal RNA", at positions 717 to 982 of the family's 1478-position model. The record is from RNAcentral.
ACACGACUACAUUAGAUACCCCUGUAGUCCUAGCCGUAAACGAUACUCGCUAGGUGUCGGCCACGGUGCGACCGUUGUCGGUGCCGUAGGGAAGCCGUGAAGCGAGCCACCUGGGAAGUACGGCCGCAAGGCUGAAACUUAAAGGAAUUGGCGGGGGAGCACCACAACGGGUGGAGCUUGCGGUUUAAUUGGACUCAACGCCGGGAAGCUCACCGGAUAAGACAGCGGAAUGAUUGCCGGGCUGAAGACCCUGCAUGACCAGCUG